AGUGAACGCUGGCGGUAGGCUUAACACAUGCAAGUCGAACGGCAGCACAGUAAGAGCUUGCUCUUACGGGUGGCGAGUGGCGGACGGGUGAGGAAUACAUCGGAAUCUACUUUUUCGUGGGGGAUCACGUAGGUAAACUUACGCUAAUACCGCAUACGCCCUACGGUUGAAAGCAGGGGAUCUUCUGACCUUGCGCGAUUGAAUGAGCCGAUGUCGGAUUAGCUAGUUGGCGGGGUAAAGGCCCACCAAGGCGACGAUCCGUAGCUGGUCUGAGAGGAUGAUCAGCCACACUGGAACUGAGACACGGUCCAGACUCCUACGGGAGGCAGCAGUGGGGAAUAUUGGACAAUGGGCGCAAGCCUGAUCCAGCCAUACCGCGUGGGUGAAGAAGGCCUUCGGGUUGUAAAGCCCUUUUGUUGGGAAAGAAAAGCAGCAGGUUAAUACCCCGCUGUUCUGACGGUACCCAAAGAAUAAGCACCGGCUAACUUCGUG
RNAcentral lists this ribosomal RNA (492 nucleotides) under uncultured bacterium. RNAcentral's name for it is "partial 16S ribosomal RNA". It matches the Rfam family "Bacterial small subunit ribosomal RNA", at positions 29 to 507 of the family's 1533-position model. The record is from RNAcentral.